UACGUAGGGGCGAGCGUUGUCCGGAUUUACUGGGCGUAAAGGGUGAGUAGGCGGUUAUAUAUGUCAGGUGUAAAAAGCUAUGGCUUAACCAUAGUAAGCACUUGAAACUGUAUGACUUGAGUGCAGGAGAGGUAAGCGGAAUUCCUAGUGUAGCGGUGAAAUGCGUAGAUAUUAGGAGGAACACCGGUGGCGAAGGCGGCUUACUGGACUGUAACUGACGCUGAGUCACGAAAGCGUGGGUAGCAAACAGGAUUAGAUACCCGGGUAGUCCCUGA
RNAcentral lists this ribosomal RNA (275 nucleotides) under uncultured prokaryote. RNAcentral describes it as "partial 16S ribosomal RNA". It matches the Rfam family "Bacterial small subunit ribosomal RNA", at positions 524 to 800 of the family's 1533-position model. The record is from RNAcentral.